ACUCUGCAACGGCUUCCCACACAUGCUCAAGCAUCGUGUGAUGGAAGAUUUAUCAUUUUCCUUUCAUAGUUAAGCCUUUGAUACAUUAGGAAUUUAUUUCCUGUCACGUGGGAUCCUACUUCAUUUCCUUUCUAAUCGAUAACAAGUGAUGUCAUUUUAUUUUAUUGAAGCAUUAUUCUUUCAGCCAAUGCAGAUACUAACAGCUCUGUAUGGUAAACUGCAGUGAAUUCUGGGAUGUGUAUCUAGCUCCUGUCUCUGACUCACCUCUUCCUUUCCUAUCACCACACUGCUUUGACAAUGAGUGGCUUGUGGUAUAUUUUAGCGUCAAUCGAGGCAAGGGCAGCCUUCCAAGUUUUCACUUUCUCAUCCUUCUGGAGUGCAGGUUCCUCUCUGUGAACUGUGAAGCCAUUGUGUUAGGAAGCUAAUGGCAGAAGGCCUGGAAUUGGGCUGAGUGGUUUCACAGAAAUAUGAGAUGAAUUUUCUUGGCACGGCCCCAAUCCUGAUGAGUGAUUCAGCUUCAGAGCUACAGUCCACAGAUGUCCCUUCUGUUCGUGUGUCACAGACCAAAUCAAAUUAGAUGGCCCUGCUGACUUCAAAAGGACAGGAAAAUGCUACCCUGAGGGGAGGGCAGUGGGAAGUUGAGGAAUAUUAAUAGGGGAGAUGACACACCUGUGGGCUGAGUCUAUUCCAGCUGCCAGGAGUCUUGAACUUCUUCCUUCACAGUCAGGAAGCUGAGAGUUCAAGAUCAAGGGAGCAGGUGUGCCCAGAUCUAAACACUCUCAUCCCUCACAAAUGUGCCUGAAGACUUGACUCCCAGGUGAACGUCGAAGUCCAAAGUCAGGCCUUUUUCCACACGGAGUCCACUUCAGUGGCGAAACUUACUGAGGAAUGUCUCACUGGAUCCACAUCUAAGCUUUGGUAGGACUUUAAGAACAUUUCCUGGGAAGUAGGCUGAACUGAAGACCUCUCUUUAGCUACAUAGCUCUCUUUAGUUUCCUUAGAUAACAGGGAAACAGGAAGCUGGGUACUUUCCCAUUGUGCCCCUGAAGAUAGGAUAGACAAAGUUCCUGUUAUCCACUCAGCCUUGAAGAAAGAAGAGGCCCAGAAGCACCGCCCAUGAUUACAUCAUCCUCAGUGCCCAGAACCCUCAGGGCCAGAGCAGACCUCCCCAAGAGUCCACCCAUUAGAUUUCAUGUCACUGAAGUUUGUUAUGAUACAGCCUGAAGUCAGAGAGUGAUCCAUUGCUGAUCAUCGUGUAGACCAAAGUGGCUGGCUGACAUUUAUUAGCUUUAAGUGUGUCCCAGGAGUAGUUCAAAGCCUUUAGAUGGUAUUAACUUGCUUUGUUCUCACUCUAUGA
Molecule: long non-coding RNA, 1357 nt
Filed under: Mus musculus (house mouse)
Lineage: Eukaryota; Metazoa; Chordata; Mammalia; Rodentia; Muridae
Description: predicted gene, 35454
Source: RNAcentral